Molecule: ribosomal RNA, 468 nt
Filed under: uncultured bacterium
Lineage: Bacteria
Description: partial 16S ribosomal RNA
Rfam family: Bacterial small subunit ribosomal RNA
Source: RNAcentral
GACGAACGCUGGCGGCGUGCUUAACACAUGCAAGUCGAACGGACAGGCCCUGCUUUUGUGGGGUGCUCGAGUGGCGAACGGGUGAGUAACACGUGAGUAACCUGCCCUUGACUUUGGGAUAACUUCAGGAAACUGGGGCUAAUACCGGAUAGGAGCUCCUGCUGCAUGGUGGGGGUUGGAAAGUUUCGGCGGUUGGGGAUGGACUCGCGGCUUAUCAGCUUGUUGGUGGGGUAGUGGCUUACCAAGGCUUUGACGGGUAGCCGGCCUGAGAGGGUGACCGGCCACAUGGGGACUGAGAUACGGCCCAGACUCCUACGGGAGGCAGAAGUGGGGAAUAUUGCACAAUGGGCGGAAGCCUGAUGCAGCAACGCCGCGUGCGGGAUGACGGCCUUCGGGUUGUAAACCGCUUUCGCCUGUGACGAAGCGUGAGUGACGGUAAUGGGUAAAGAAGCACCGGCUAACUACGUG